This 1417-nucleotide long non-coding RNA is filed under the name Capra hircus (goat). RNAcentral describes it as "lncRNA (ENSCHIG00010022049.1)". The record is from RNAcentral. Lineage: Eukaryota; Metazoa; Chordata; Mammalia; Artiodactyla; Bovidae.
AUGUUUUCCACGAUUUCUAAAAAUAGGAAGGAAAGCAUUACUCAGAUGAGAAUGAUACAUGUGAUCCUCUGGAUGCUGUUCCAGCCUGUCUCUCUACUAUCCUAUUACUGUAAUCCCACUGGAGAACUGUCUCUCGCUCACUGUCUCUCACUGCAUCCCGAGAACGUCUCAAACUGCAGUCUGUGGACCACCCAGGAAUCUAUCACACUGUCCCUGUUUGUCGUGACUAUGUCAUGCAUUUUUUUAGAUGCAUUUAUUUUUGCUCAUGCUGGGUUUUUGUUGCUGUGCGCAGACUUUCUCUAGUUGAAACAAGCAGGGGCUACUUUUCAUUGCAGUGUGUGGGCUUCUCAUUUCGAAGGCUUCUCUUAUGGUGGAGCACAGGCUCUAGGCUAUCAGGCUUCAGUAGCUGCAGCACGUGGGCUGUCAUUGUGGCUCAAGAGCUCUAGAGCACUGGGUUAGUGGUUGUGGUACUCAGGCUCCGUUGCUCUGCAACAUGUGGGAUCUUCCAGGACCAGGGGUCAAAACAGUGUCCCUUGCAUUGCAAGAUGGAUUCUUAACCACUGAACCACCAAGAAAGCCCAGAUGUCAUGUAUUUUAAAUAUAAGAUGAAUUAUGAUUUUCAGAGAAAAUUGUGACACUGAGAGAAUAACCAGAAACUUAGUAAAUGUUCUGAAUAAGUCUUGCCUAGAAUGGGCAGCUGUUAUGUAUCAUCUUCUGACUUUUAAUGGGCUCCACUCCUGCAAAAUACAUUUCCUAUGUCACUUUCCAGUCUGUGAAAUGACUCCCAGCUGAAAUAAGAGCCAACAUCAUCCUGGGCACACAGAAGAAGAUGCAGGACCACCAUCCCCACCCCCAGAGUCAUCCCAAUAAACUCCACCUGAUACCUCUAUCUCUAUCACUGAUUCUCAACUAAAAUGAUCAGGUUCCCAGAAACUCCUGGUCUUGGCUGGCAGUGGUGGUCAUCACCAGCCAAGCCCAGGCUUCUUUGAAAAGUCACCUUCCUUCCUUCUGAUUUGGCAGUUUUGAAAAGCAUCUGUUAGUUUUUCAGAUGCAAUCUUUAUUAUAUCUGUUUACAAGUGUGAAAAUUCCUCACCAAGUCAGCUUCUGAGAAUCAUUAAGGAAAGCACAGAAAAGUCAAAGGUAGAAAUAAAUAAUUAGUAUACACAGCUGUCCUUUCAUCCUUGCCUUCAGAACCUAGGAGGUUGUGGCAUUUCACUGGGACCUGAACACUGAGCUCCAGCUUCAGAGGGGGAAACAGGAAAGCUUCAGAACAUCUGUUUCCAUGUGUGUAUGCAGAAAUCCCUGAUUCCAUCAUAUUCAGACUCUGUAUACUACGGGCAGCAUCACAUUUAAAGUCUGUGAUCUCCUGCUGCUGCUGCUGCUGCUAAGUUGCUUCAGUCACGUCCAACUCUGUGCG